UACGUAGGGGGCUAGCGUUGUCCGGAUUUAUUGGGCGUAAAGAGCGUGUAGGCGGCCAUGUAGGUCUGCUGUGAAAACUCGAGGCUCAACCUCGAGACGUCGGCGGAAACCAUCUGGCUAGAGUCCGGAAGAGGAGAGUGGAAUUCCUGGUGUAGCGGUGAAAUGCGCAGAUAUCAGGAAGAACACCCGUGGCGAAGGCGGCUCUCUGGGACGGUACUGACGCUGAGACGCGAAAGCGUGGGGAGCGAACAGG
Molecule: ribosomal RNA, 253 nt
Filed under: uncultured bacterium
Lineage: Bacteria
Description: partial 16S ribosomal RNA
Rfam family: Bacterial small subunit ribosomal RNA
Source: RNAcentral